UCUAACAUAGUCAAAUUAAUGACGCAAGAUUUAAGCUCUUGAAGUGUAAUUUAUUGUUAGAA
This 62-nucleotide transfer RNA is filed under the name Proasellus ortizi. Its description in RNAcentral is "transfert RNA-L2(TTA)". Lineage: Eukaryota; Metazoa; Arthropoda; Malacostraca; Isopoda; Asellidae. The record is from RNAcentral.